GGAUGGAAAAUGUUCCAACAGGUCGUAGGGCAUAGAUCCUGACAAUACCUAUCGAUCCUUUUCCUUAUCAAUAUUCAUUUCUCCCUUUCCAUUCUGAGGACAACCUUCGGCAGUUGCACGGCAUCCAGGAGAGUAUCCAGCGGAUGAGACAAGUCAGCGUGCAGACACUACGACUCCAGUCGCAGGUGGGCAGGAGACUUCGCUACGGAGGAGUCGGCGCUGGAUGCAACUGGAGCCUUUCCUGCCCGUCACUGAACGGAAGUGGCGGUAGCGGUGGUGGCCAAGGAGGAGUUGCGUCUGGAUUGGCUGGCCACGGAAAUGG
Daphnia pulicaria is the source of this 322-nucleotide long non-coding RNA. RefSeq lists it as uncharacterized. The record is from RefSeq and is a predicted model, not a curated record. The transcript has 3 exons. Lineage: Eukaryota; Metazoa; Arthropoda; Branchiopoda; Diplostraca; Daphniidae.